This 460-nucleotide ribosomal RNA is filed under the name uncultured bacterium. RNAcentral describes it as "partial 16S ribosomal RNA". It matches the Rfam family "Bacterial small subunit ribosomal RNA", at positions 338 to 795 of the family's 1533-position model. The record is from RNAcentral.
CCUACGGGUGGCAGCAGUGAGGAAUAUUGGUCAAUGGGCGGGAGCCUGAACCAGCCAAGUCGCGUGAGGGAUGAAGGUUCUAUGGAUCGUAAACCUCUUUUAUAAGGGAAUAAAGUGUGGGACGUGUCCUAUGUUGUAUGUACCUUAUGAAUAAGGAUCGGCUAACUCCGUGCCAGCAGCCGCGGUAAUACGGAGGAUCCGAGCGUUAUCCGGAUUUAUUGGGUUUAAAGGGGGCGUAGGCGGCCUUGUGAGUCAGCGGUGAAAGUCUGGGGCUGAACCAUAGAAUUGCCGUUGAAACUGGGGGUGUUGAGUAGGUGUGAGGAAGGCGGAAUGCGUGGUGGAGCGGUGAAAUGCUUAGAUAUCACGCAGAACCCCGAUUGCGAAGGCAGCCUGCCAGGCCAUGACUGACGCUGAUGCACGAAAGCGUGGGGAUCGAACAGGAUUAGAUACCCUAGUAGUC